RNAcentral lists this ribosomal RNA (253 nucleotides) under uncultured bacterium. Its description in RNAcentral is "partial 16S ribosomal RNA". It matches the Rfam family "Bacterial small subunit ribosomal RNA", at positions 524 to 776 of the family's 1533-position model. The record is from RNAcentral.
UACAGAGGUCUCAAGCGUUGUUCGGAUUCAUUGGGCGUAAAGGGUGCGUAGGCGGCGCGGUAAGUCGGGUGUGAAACCUCGGGGCUUAACUCCGAAACUGCAUUCGAUACUGCCGUGCUUGAGGACUGGAGAGGAGACUGGAAUUUACGGUGUAGCGGUGAAAUGCGUAGAUAUCGUAAGGAAGACCAGUGGCGAAGGCGGGUCUCUGGACAGUUCCUGACGCUGAGGCACGAAGGUCAGGGGAGCAAACGGG